Molecule: ribosomal RNA, 110 nt
Filed under: uncultured bacterium
Lineage: Bacteria
Description: partial 16S ribosomal RNA
Rfam family: Bacterial small subunit ribosomal RNA
Source: RNAcentral
CCCGGGUCUUGUACACACCGCCCGUCACACCAUGGGAGCGGGUUCUGCCAGAAGUAGUUAGCCUAACCGCAGGGGGGGCGAUUACCACGGCAGGGUUCGUGACUGGGGUG